GAUCGAGGCUCCUCUUUGUUCACAGCUAAAUCUGUAUUCUCUGAAUCUUGCACGGAAGGUUUCGACUCUAACAACAGAUUACUCUCAGACAUUACUUGCUCCUGCUGCUGCUGUUGCGGCUGUGCAUCUGUUGAAACCGGAACAGCUUGACUGGUUGUGGUAUCAUGUGGAACGACGCCAUUUUCAGCUGCAGAUCCUGAAUUCUGAUCCAAAUUGGGAGAACAACUUUCGAUUUUGGGAGGCUGGUCGAUAUCCCCCUUGAUUGUCGACGAAAUGGGACUACUCCGCACAGGAUAAACUGAUGGAGGCUCGUCCUCGUACUUGACUGGUCGCGGCCUUUUUCUCUUUGGCGCUGCAUAUUGUAUAAAAAAAAUCACAUGAAACCAUCAGCGAAGUCCCAGAAAUCCCAAACAUACAACCUGUUCUUUCAGAUUGCUGCAUAAAACACGAAAUGAAAAUAGCGAAUCUUGCUCGAUCCCAAUUUUUCCCUUUUUCUCUUGGGUUCCUUAGCAACCAAAGAGAGCAUUGGCAGGAAGAGUCAAAAGGAAAUGAGUAUACUUGAGCAUUCGAUGGCUCAACCGCUCCGGCAACUUACCAAUAGCAGACAUGGGAGUGGCAGAUGAGCUAGAAUUAGUGGGA
RNAcentral lists this unclassified non-coding RNA (639 nucleotides) under Hevea brasiliensis (rubber tree). The record is from RNAcentral. Lineage: Eukaryota; Viridiplantae; Streptophyta; Magnoliopsida; Malpighiales; Euphorbiaceae.